Long non-coding RNA from Acinonyx jubatus (cheetah), 3127 nucleotides. RefSeq lists it as uncharacterized. NCBI's taxonomy places the organism in Eukaryota, Metazoa, Chordata, Mammalia, Carnivora, Felidae. The transcript is spliced from 3 exons. The record is from RefSeq and is a predicted model, not a curated record.
AUUUCUUCACAGAGGGAGUUACACCGCGAGAUCUGAUUGACAACCAUGGGAGAACCGUGUGAUGUUCGCCUUAAAUAUUCUCAGAGCCAUGUUACUUUGAUAAGAGUGAUAUACAACUCUGUUAACACCUGCUGGAAAACUGAGGUCUAUUGCAGACUUGAAGCCAACUGCCCCUAUAAUUGAAGGUGGAUUUUCUCAUUGUUAACCACAUCCAAUUGCUAACCAGGUCCAACCAGAGACCCCAUCAGGGGAGUUGGGCCACAGUCAGAGGCUGAUGGGACCUUAACCAUUAGCCACUCUUCCUGGGACUUUCUGGAUUGCUUCAUCCUUGAAGGCCCAGUUCAAGUCCUGUCAAGUCCUGCUGUGAAAUCUACCAUUCAUUCAUUCCUUCAUUCAGCCAGCAGAGAGUGCCAACUCUGUGAACAGUCGUGAGGACAAUUAAAGGGCGGCAUUUCCCCCCUGAGAGCUGCCAUAGAACCACGUGACUUCGUUUUGGAAGCCACCACAUGUUCAAGUAAUGCAGUGCAGAAGUAAGAAGUAAAAGAGAGGUCCUGCCCACAUAGCGAGAGCCCAGGUGGCCUCCAGCCUCCUGCGGCUUCCCAGGUGCCGGGAGGUAUAUUGGUGGGCAGGGCCGGGUGCAGUGAGCCUGAAUGCCAUCUCCUUUGUUGAGCCCUUUGGGACAGGACAAGCCAUUAGGCCUAAACUCAGGCUUCAGUCCUCUGGGGAGCUGGGGGCUGAGCUAAGGGGCUUUUCUAAGCUCUCCUGCUCUGCCUACUCUCAGGGGUGGGCAUUGGCCCAGUGUCCCAGUCUGAGAACCUCUACAAGGAAUGUUCCUACUGCUCCUAAAAUAUUUUCCCACCUAUCUGCCUCCCCGCCUGACAUCGCCUAUAAAAGAGGUUCAUUCCUUUAGGUUAAGCCAUGUCCUUCCUGGAAGUUCUUUGCAAUGACACAAGUUUCUCUGGCUGGGCAGCCAGCAUCCUUCAUUGUUCAGUGAACACUUAGUAUGUGCCCAGCAUGAGCAUAAGCGCUGGGGACAUAGCAGGAGCCAAAGUUCCUUCCUGCUUUCCCGGGACUUACGUUUCGGAAGGGAAGACAGACCGAAAACUCAUAUACAGUCAGUUAGGGAUGUCGGGUUGUUGAGAAACAUAAAGCAGGGUGAUGGGGAAGCGUGCUAUUGUAGGGUGGGAAGGGAAGGCCUCUCUCACAGUUCAAAUCUUCCAGCACAACUGGAGCUCACCCUGAUCUCUCUCUGCCUGGGGCUUUAGAAGCACUUCAGAUUGUCUCGAAAAGUUAACUCAAUUGUUUCUGCUGUGAUCGCGUACUUUGUCUCCAUCUUGCUGUGUCCUGUUUCAUGUAUGUGUCUCUUGCCCGCCCCUUCUGUCCUAAGCCCUUUCACUUUAUUAUUUAUUGUCUUGUCUCUGGACGCUGGAACAGAGACCUGGAGAAGCUGAGCCCCUGAGUAAGGGUUGCCCAUCUGAGUGAGGGUUCCAGGCAGAAGAAAUAGCAAGUGUUAAGCCCCCACAGCAGUGGACGCUGGCAUCUUGGGAACAGCCAAGAGGCCAGAAGGCUGGGUGCAGAGAUGACGAGGGGCAGGGGUAGGGGCUGAGGCUAGAUUGUGGGGCCAAGCAGGCUCUGCAAAGGGCCUUUGGGUGUACUCUGUGCGGCACAGGAAGCCAUGGGAAGACCCUGAGCAGAAGAGGGACAUGCAAUGAUGCCAUCGAGACACUCAUUAGCAUGACCACCUUGGGUGUCCCAUGAAUCUAGGCUAGAGACAAGGGCGGCAGGGCCUGGGGACGCCAAGGGCAAUGCAGGCCAAUGAAGGAACUGAGACUUUCUCAUGAUGUCAGUAGGGAUCCAUGGAGGGUUUUAGAGUAAGGGAGUUUCACCCUUCAUCUGGGAGUAGAGGGUGCUAGACACAGGGAAGUGAGGUCACCUUCUCAGAACGUAUUGCUGGAUAAAGAUGGAACUGAGGUGAAAAGCCAACUCUUCAGAUUUCAAUUCCAUUAAAGUGUGAGGUUUUUCCUAAAUAAGGAGAGGAAACAUUUAUCGAGCAUGUGCUAAGUGCCACACCCUGCUCAGGUGCCAAGCCAUUUAAUUUUCAAAACAACCCUAAGAGGUGGACACUAUUAUUAUUCCCAUCUUACAGACAAGAAAAUGAGGCACAGGGGGGUUAUGUAACUUGUCUGAGGUUGCCCAGCUAAUAAGCAGUAGAGCUGGGAUUUGAACCCAGGUAGCCCGGAUCCAGAGUUCAGGCAGUUAGUCAGUGUGUUACAGGGCCUUGCUAGAGCUUUUGGAAACGUGAGAAUGUGAAGAUGGGGUGGUGGGAACCAGGACGGACCAGUUAACAUGUUGUUGCUAGGGCUGAGCCAGCCCCAGUCUUGUUUGGACUCAGGCCCCGCACUUUCGCGUUAAGUCCCAUCAAUAGUUAGCGGAGGAAGCAGUUGCGAAACUUGGUAUUGGCUGUUGCUAAGUCGUUCUAGAUCCGAUGGGGGCCACACCACUGUUCCAGAGGCCGGAAAGGGCUCUGCUCAGAGGCUUUAUAAAAAGACAUUUCCUUAAUUACUUCAACCCUUGCUGUCCUGUGCUUUUCUCUUGGCUCCUGUUGGCCCUUCCACGUGUAUUUCCUGAAUCCAGGGCUGGCCGUACAUGUAGGGAGAUAGUAGGGAUAGUGUGACGGGGCUCUCAGAGACUUCCUCUUCCCAGCCCACCCAGACCUCUGACCUUUCUUCUGGAUGGAGGCCCCUCAAACAGCUCAACCCAACUGUACGUGAGAACUAUCUAGAGAGUUCAUAGAAAGUCCUAAUGGCUAGGUCCUACCCCACACCAGAUGGAUCCGAGUCUCUGGAGUUGGCCUCAAAGGGUAAGUUACAAAAAGCUUGAUUCUAAUGUGCAGCUCAGUUGAGAACCACUGGCCUAGACCAAUCCCCCUUAUUACGUAUAGAGAAAUUGUCUUGUCCACAGUCAUGUGGCCAUCAGUGGCAGAAUGGGAAAGAAAAUCCAGGUCUUUGACUCUUAGAACAACAGCUUUGUCCAAAAGAAACAUAGUUGGAAAAGGCAAGUCACCCCAGGAGAGGCACUCGAACAUCAGUGCCCGUGGAUUUUUGGAUGGUGGAAGGUGAGUUAUGAG